AGUGAACGCUGGCGGUAGGCCUAACACAUGCAAGUCGAACGGCAGCACAGUAAGAGCUUGCUCUUACGGGUGGCGAGUGGAGGACGGGUGAGGAAUACAUCGGAAUCUACUUUGUCGUGGGGGAUAACGUAGGGAAACUUACGAUAAUACCGCAUACGACCUACGGGUGAAAGCAGGGGAUCUUCGGACCUUGAGCGAUUGAAUGAGCCGAUGUCGGAUUAGCUAGUUGGCGGGGUAAAGGCCCACCAAGGCGACGAUCCGUAGCUGGUCUGAGAGGAUGAUCAGCCACACUGGAACUGAGACACGGUCCACACUCCUACGGGAGGCAGCAGUGGGGAAUAUUGGACAAUGGGCGCAAGCCUGAUCCAGCCAUACCGCGUGGGUGAAGAAGGCCUUCGGGUUGUAAAGCCCUUUUGUUGGGAAAGAAAAGCAGCAGGUUAAUACCCCGCUGUUCUGACGGUACCCAAAGAAUAAGCACCGGCUAACUUCGUG
Molecule: ribosomal RNA, 492 nt
Filed under: uncultured bacterium
Lineage: Bacteria
Description: partial 16S ribosomal RNA
Rfam family: Bacterial small subunit ribosomal RNA
Source: RNAcentral